UGAGUAGGCGGCAAGAUAAGUCACAUGUGAAAUUCCAUGGCUCAACCGUGGAACUGCAUGAGAAACUGUCUAGCUAGAGUGCAGGAGAGGUAAGCGGAAUUCCUAGUGUAGCGGUGAAAUGCGUAGAUAUUAGGAAGAACACCAGUGGCGAAGGCGGCUUACUGGACUGAAACUGACGCUGAGUCACGAAAGCGUGGGGAGCAAACAGGAUUAGAUACCCUGGUAGUCCACGCUGUAAACGAUGAGUGCUAGGUGUCGGGGCGAGAGCUUCGGUGCCGGAGUAAACACAAUAAGCACUCCACCUGGGGAUACGUACGCAAGUAUGAA
Molecule: ribosomal RNA, 327 nt
Filed under: uncultured bacterium
Lineage: Bacteria
Description: bacterial SSU rRNA
Rfam family: Bacterial small subunit ribosomal RNA
Source: RNAcentral